CCGAAUAAAAAUACAAAUUUUCUGAAUAAAAAAUAAAUAUUAUACAAAUCCAAUACUUCAUAUUAACAUAACACAAUUCAUCCCCUCUUCGGUAGGAGCAAAUUCCAUAUGAAUACACAAUAACAGAAAAUGCAGAAUGAAGAUCCUCUGCAAACAAAUGAAUUACAGAAAAAUGAUAAAUCCUUGAACAUUGAAAGAAAAAUACUAGAACCAACGAAAUUAGAAACAAAUAGAAGGAGAAAUUCAAACUAAGAAAAUGGCAAACCAUGCACAAAUCUACGAACGAUUUCCAUAGAAUCAACUAAUUACUGUAGCAGAUCUUGGUGUCGGCUUUCUGCUCUGUCCAAUCGAAAAAAUAGUUCGAAUAGCGGCUAAAAAACGUUGAAGAACAAACUGAGUCAACUAAUUACUGUACCAAAUCCACGCCGCCAACAAGCUGGCGUUGCGCCAUGGCUGCGUCGGAUUUUUUUAGAUGUGCGAGCAGACCCCGACCUCCUUCACCUGCAAGGCCGAAGACGCCUCCCUCCGCGCCGACUGUGGCCAUGGUCCUCUUCUACGACUCAGGCGUCAAGUUCUCGCCGUCCACCGAAGAAGAAAUAGAAUGAUAGAUUAGAGAGAGAGAGAAAGAGUCGGCAAUGGGGGAGUGAAAGUGGGUGAAUGAGGAGUUUUUUUAGGUAUACCAUUUUUCAACUAUUGCCAAUUUACUUGAAUACCCUUAAUUGGAAAUAAAAUGUAAUUCGGAUUUUGAUAAAUACAUUUAAGAUUUAGAUAUUGAUUUUGUUUAAACCGUCUGAUUGAGGGGAUUUAAUGGUGUAGAUUAAUUCUUU
Molecule: long non-coding RNA, 827 nt
Filed under: Salvia miltiorrhiza (redroot sage)
Lineage: Eukaryota; Viridiplantae; Streptophyta; Magnoliopsida; Lamiales; Lamiaceae
Description: long non-coding RNA (SMIL_LNC002492)
Source: RNAcentral